This 253-nucleotide ribosomal RNA is filed under the name uncultured bacterium. RNAcentral describes it as "partial 16S ribosomal RNA". It matches the Rfam family "Bacterial small subunit ribosomal RNA", at positions 524 to 776 of the family's 1533-position model. The record is from RNAcentral.
UACGAAGGGUGCAAGCGUUACUCGGAAUUACUGGGCGUAAAGCGUGCGUAGGUGGUUUGUUAAGUCUGAUGUGAAAGCCCUGGGCUCAACCUGGGAAUUGCAUUGGAUACUGGCAGGCUAGAGUGCGGUAGAGGGUAGUGGAAUUCCCGGUGUAGCAGUGAAAUGCGUAGAGAUCGGGAGGAACAUCUGUGGCGAAGGCGGCCAUCUGGACCAGCACUGACACUGAGGCACGAAAGCGUGGGGAGCAAACAGG